UACGGGGGGGGCAAGCGUUGUUCGGAAUUACUGGGCGUAAAGGGCUCGUAGGCGGCCAACUAAGUCAUACGUGAAAUCCCUCGGCUUAACCGGGGAACUGCGUCUGAUACUGGAUGGCUUGAGCUCGGGAGAGGGAUGCGGAAUUCCAGGUGUAGCGGUGAAAUGCGUAGAUAUCUGGAGGAACACCUGUGGCGAAAGCGGCUCACUGGACCACAACUGACGCUGAUGCACGAAAGCUAGGGGAGCAAACAGG
Molecule: ribosomal RNA, 253 nt
Filed under: uncultured bacterium
Lineage: Bacteria
Description: partial 16S ribosomal RNA
Rfam family: Bacterial small subunit ribosomal RNA
Source: RNAcentral